CCUACGGGUGGCUGCAGUAGGGAAUCUUCCACAAUGAGCGAAAGCUUGAUGGAGCAACGCCGCGUGGGUGAAGAAGGUCUUCGGAUCGUAAAACCCUGUUGUUAGAGAAGAACGUGCGUGAGAGUAACUGUUCACGUUUCGACGGUAUCUAACCAGAAAGCCACGGCUAACUACGUGCCAGCAGCCGCGGUAAUACGUAGGUGGCAAGCGUUAUCCGGAAUUAUUGGGCGUAAAGGGAACGGAGGCGGUCUUUUAAGUCUGAUGUUAAAGCCUUCGGCUUAACCUGAGUCGUGCUUUGGAAACUGGGAAACUUGAGUGAAGAAGAGGAGAGUGGAACUCCAUGUGUAGCGGUGAAAUGCGUAGAUAUAUGGAAGAACACCAGUGGCGAAAGCAGCUUUCUGG
RNAcentral lists this ribosomal RNA (402 nucleotides) under uncultured bacterium. RNAcentral's name for it is "partial 16S ribosomal RNA". It matches the Rfam family "Bacterial small subunit ribosomal RNA", at positions 338 to 732 of the family's 1533-position model. The record is from RNAcentral.